RNAcentral lists this transfer RNA (77 nucleotides) under Desulfatitalea sp. BRH_c12. Its description in RNAcentral is "tRNA-Thr". It matches the Rfam family "tRNA". From Rfam's summary of the family: Transfer RNA (tRNA) molecules are approximately 80 nucleotides in length. Their secondary structure includes four short double-helical elements and three loops (D, anti-codon, and T loops). RNAcentral also lists the same sequence under 4 other names. The record is from RNAcentral. Lineage: Bacteria; Pseudomonadati; Thermodesulfobacteriota; Desulfobacteria; Desulfobacterales; Desulfosarcinaceae.
GCCCACGUAGCUCAGACGGUAGAGCGCUUCCUUGGUAAGGAAGAGGUUCACCGGUUCGAUUCCGGUCGUGGGCUCCA